Molecule: ribosomal RNA, 561 nt
Filed under: uncultured bacterium
Lineage: Bacteria
Description: bacterial SSU rRNA
Rfam family: Bacterial small subunit ribosomal RNA
Source: RNAcentral
CCUACGGGAGGCAGCAGUGGGGAAUAUUGCACAAUGGGGGAAACCCUGAUGCAGCAACGCCGCGUGAGUGAUGAAGGUUUUCGGAUCGUAAAACUCUGUCUUUGGGGACGAUAAUGACGGUACCCAAGGAGGAAGCCACGGCUAACUACGUGCCAGCAGCCGCGGUAAUACGUAGGUGGCAAGCGUUGUCCGGAUUUACUGGGCGUAAAGGGAGCGUAGGUGGAUUUUUAAGUGAGAUGUGAAAUACUCGGGCUCAACCUGAGAACUGCAUUUCAAACUGGAGAUCUAGAGUGCAGGAGAGGAAAGUGGAAUUCCUAGUGUAGCGGUGAAAUGCGUAGAUAUUAGGAAGAACACCAGUGGCGAAGGCGACUUUCUGGACUGUAACUGACACUGAGGCUCGAAAGCGUGGGGAGCAAACAGGAUUAGAUACCCUGGUAGUCCACGCCGUAAACGAUGGGAACUAGGUGUAGGAAGUGUUGACCCUUUCUGUGCCGAAGCUAACGCAUUAAGUUCCCCGCCUGGGGAGUACGGUCGCAAGGCUAAAACUUAAAGGAAUUGACG